Molecule: long non-coding RNA, 329 nt
Organism: Oncorhynchus tshawytscha (Chinook salmon)
Lineage: Eukaryota; Metazoa; Chordata; Actinopteri; Salmoniformes; Salmonidae
Source: Ensembl
GCUGCACAGUAAUGUCUCUUAUCGAUGGAGGUUAUGAUGUCAUUUAGGACCUUGAGCGUGGCUGAAGUGCACCCAUUACCAGCUCUGAAACCAGAUUGCAUAGCGGAGAAGGUACGGUGGGAUUCAAAUUGGUCAGUGAUCUGUUUGUUCACUUGGCUUUCGAAGACUUUAGAAAGGCAGGGCAGGAUGGAUAUAGGUCUGUAACAGUUUGGGUCUAGAGGCAGGGCAGGAUGGAUAUAGGUCUGUAGCAGUUUGGGUCUAGAGGCAGGGCAGGAUGGAUAUAGGUCUGUAGCAGUUUGGGUCUAGAGGCAGGGCAGGAUGGAUAUAGG